Molecule: ribosomal RNA, 253 nt
Filed under: uncultured bacterium
Lineage: Bacteria
Description: partial 16S ribosomal RNA
Rfam family: Bacterial small subunit ribosomal RNA
Source: RNAcentral
UACGUAGGGUGCAAGCGUUGUCCGGAAUUAUUGGGCGUAAAGAGCUCGUAGGCGGUUUGUCGCGUCGAAUGUGAAAACCCGGGGCUCAACCCCGGGCCUGCAUUCGAUACGGGCAGACUAGAGUUCGGUAGGGGAGUCUGGAAUUCCUGGUGUAGCGGUGAAAUGCUCAGAUAUCGGGAGGAACACCGGUGGCGAAGGCGGUUCUCUGGGCCUUACCUGACGCUGAGGAGCGAAAGCGUGGGGAGCGAACAGG